Molecule: long non-coding RNA, 1083 nt
Filed under: Ananas comosus (pineapple)
Lineage: Eukaryota; Viridiplantae; Streptophyta; Magnoliopsida; Poales; Bromeliaceae
Description: long non-coding RNA (ACOM_LNC039230)
Source: RNAcentral
CGGAGUAUUUCACAUAGGGUUGUCCCGCAGACGGUCUCGGUGUGCGAGCGCAGCUUCUCCUCACCUAUGAGAUUGAGAGUGAGUCGGGGUUGACCCCGGGGUGGCAACCUUCGGGUUGGCCAUGAGAUUGGAUACUAUCGAGGCAUAGUUGCACGACGCACUAUGUAGUAGCUCGUUCAUUCGGAUUAUUGAGGCAUAGUAGCAUGUGUAGAGACAUCACUAUGUAGUAGCUCAUUUCUUUAUUGUUGAGACAUAGUAGCAUGUUGUAGAUACAUCACUAUGUAGUAGCUCAUUUUCAUUAUUAUUGAAGCAUAGUAUCAUGAUUAGUAGAAUAUUAUUGCUAUGUUCAUGCAUUCCAUGAUUACAGAGGCAUAGUAGCAUGUGUAUAUUCCAUUACUAUGUACUUUAUAUACUCAUGACAUGAUUCUAGCAUGAUAGUAGUUGUUGCAUGCAUUAUCAUCAUUGAUGGCAUGAUAGAGUAGUUGCAGUUUAUCUCUUUAUAUAUCUAUCUACCUCUCUAUCUGUGCCAGCUUAGACCUAGUGGGAAAACCGGCGGCGUCGGCGGCCGAACCCACUGGGAACUAUAUUUAUAUAGUUCUCACCCCGUGUGGUUAUGGGGUACAGGUACACACAGAGGCGAGCCGAGCGAGGACCGCGGCAAAGGCAUAGCGCCCUAGUACCUAGUAGCUUUCCUAUUUUGCAUUAGAGUACCCUCGUGUACAUAGAAAUGUGAUGUAAAUGUAUUUGGAGUUACUCGUGUAUUUGGAGAGCUAUUUUGUAUUAUGAGAAGAAUAUGUAUUCAUUUUGGAAGAUAUAAUAGGGGAGAUUGUGAGACCCCAGAUAGUCCUAUAUAUGAGAUAUAAUAGGGCUAAACUCUUAACCCGGCUUAAGCAUUUUGGGUGGUGGCUAGACCCAAAAGGUUAAGAGAGUUAAGCGUGCUAGGAUGGGAGUAGUCCUAGGAUGGGUGACCCCCUGGGAAGUUGGGGCGUUACAAUAAUUGUUAUAUAGUUCCUAGUUCAUCCACUGAACAUUGUAACCUAGCGUCAUUAGAAACUGAAACCUUAUGGCAUGAACGACAAGGUC